RNAcentral lists this ribosomal RNA (430 nucleotides) under uncultured bacterium. RNAcentral describes it as "bacterial SSU rRNA". It matches the Rfam family "Bacterial small subunit ribosomal RNA", at positions 917 to 1345 of the family's 1533-position model. The record is from RNAcentral.
GGGCCCGCACAAGCGGUGGAGUAUGUGGUUUAAUUCGAUGCAACGCGAAGAACCUUACCAGGGUUUGACAUCCUGCGAAUCUCUUGGAAACAGGAGAGUGCCUUCGGGAACGCAGUGACAGGUGGUGCAUGGCUGUCGUCAGCUCGUGUCGUGAGGUGUUGGGUUAAGUCCCGUAACGAGCGAAACCCUUAUCGUUAGUUGCCAGCGGGUUAUGCCGGGGACUCUAGCGAGACUGCCGUUGUCAAAACGGAGGAAGGUGGGGACGACGUCAAGUCAUCAUGGCCCUUAUGGCCUGGGCUACAAACGUGCUACAAUGGUCCGUACAAUGGGUACCCAAGUCGCGAGACGGAGGCAAUCCCAUCAAAGCGGGCCCCAGUUCGGAUUGCAGGCUGCAAUUCGCCUGCAUGAAGCCGGAAUCGCUAGUAAUCGC